This 233-nucleotide ribosomal RNA is filed under the name Pseudomonas synxantha. RNAcentral's name for it is "partial 23S ribosomal RNA". It matches the Rfam family "Bacterial large subunit ribosomal RNA", at positions 2715 to 2925 of the family's 2925-position model. The record is from RNAcentral. Lineage: Bacteria; Pseudomonadati; Pseudomonadota; Gammaproteobacteria; Pseudomonadales; Pseudomonadaceae.
UUCCGGUUGUCACGCCAGUGGCAUUGCCGGGUAGCUAUGUUCGGAAUAGAUAACCGCUGAAAGCAUCUAAGCGGGAAACUAGCCUCAAGAUGAGAUCUCACUGGAACCUUGAGUUCCCUGAAGGGCCGUCGAAGACUACGACGUUGAUAGGUUGGGUGUGUAAGCGCUGUGAGGCGUUGAGCUAACCAAUACUAAUUGCCCGUGAGGCUUGACCAUAUAACACCCAAGCAAUU